UAAAACAUUACAAUAAAAAUAUUUCCUUCUCUUUUCUCUCUCCCUCUGUCGCCUCCUCUUAAUCCUCAUAGUCGCCUCUUGUUCUCUGUCUCACUUGAGAGAUGUGGAUCUUGUUUUCUCCCUCUCUUCGGCCCCAUUUCCUUCUCGUCUCCCUCUGUUGCACACUCAUUUUUCAUCUUGCUUUCGGUGGUUUUCCCAGUCUGCGACAACGGAGCUUCGACGGCGAGGCGCAAAGCGGAGCGAAGCCACGGAGGUGCGACGCGACAGAGGAAAAGAAAUUAUCGUGCAAAGGAAUGAGAUGAAAUGAUUGGCAGUGCAUGGGGGAAAGCUUUGUGAGGCAAGAAAGAAGAAAGGGAAAAAGGAAAGGCAGGAAGGAAGAAAGGUUGGUGGAAGGGUGGGUGCCAAUAAUGAGAGGAAAGGGAGAAAAAAAUGGUAUUUUGGACUUUUGGCAAUUCUUAGUAGGGGGACUAAAGCAAAUCUGAUAUGACCAAUAUCAACUCCCCACAAAAACUGUUAUUAUUGUCCAUUGGACUUCAGGCGGCGCAAAACUUCACACUACUUCACCAAAAACUGUUGGUCCAUAAAGUUGAUACCCUCCUCUUUUAUUUUAUUUUUAACUAAAUACACCUCCCCCUUUUUUGGGACGAGGAUUUGGGCACAGUAUGAAAACAUUAAGAGACAAUAGAGCCUCUAUAAAGCAACUUGAGCCUGCAAACAUUCCUUCUGAAAAACACCCCUCUCUGUAAUGCAGCAUCAUAAUUGCCAUCAAUACCAUCAUGAUCACCGUUGUCUAUGUAUGAUUUACCCAAAAUGCGUAUAUUUUUUGUGUGUGUCUUAAUCAAAGCUUGUUUUUAGCCUAUGAAACCCGAUCUUUACAAAACAUACAGCAACAGCUAUUGUCAUGAUGAUGUCUCCUUCAUCAAGCCCAAGAUGCAUACUCUGCCCAAGUUCUGAUUCUUUGUUAUGCAUGUACUCCUAGAAUCUCUAUGCACAAUGUGUAAAAUGUGUAAAUAGUAUUCUUAUUAGUAUCUCUUUUUA
Molecule: long non-coding RNA, 1038 nt
Organism: Glycine soja
Lineage: Eukaryota; Viridiplantae; Streptophyta; Magnoliopsida; Fabales; Fabaceae
Exons: 2
Source: RefSeq, a predicted model, not a curated record